CCUACGGGAGGCAGCAGUGGGGAAUAUUGCACAAUGGGCGCAAGCCUGAUGCAGCCAUGCCGCGUGUGUGAAGAAGGCCUUCGGGUUGUAAAGCACUUUCAGCGGGGAGGAAGGCGGUGAGGUUAAUAACCUCAUCGAUUGACGUUACCCGCAGAAGAAGCACCGGCUAACUCCGUGCCAGCAGCCGCGGUAAUACGGAGGGUGCAAGCGUUAAUCGGAAUUACUGGGCGUAAAACGCACGCAGGCGGUCUGUCAAGUCGGAUGUGAAAUCCCCGGGCUCAACCUGGGAACUGCAUUCGAAACUGGCAGGCUAGAGUCUUGUAGAGGGGGGUAGAAUUCCAGGUGUAGCGGUGAAAUGCGUAGAGAUCUGGAGGAAUACCGGUGGCGAAGGCGGCCCCCUGGACAAAGACUGACGCUCAGGUGCGAAAGCGUGGGGAGCAAACAGGAUUAGAUACCCGGGUAGUC
This 465-nucleotide ribosomal RNA is filed under the name uncultured Klebsiella sp. Its description in RNAcentral is "bacterial SSU rRNA". It matches the Rfam family "Bacterial small subunit ribosomal RNA", at positions 338 to 795 of the family's 1533-position model. The record is from RNAcentral. Lineage: Bacteria; Pseudomonadati; Pseudomonadota; Gammaproteobacteria; Enterobacterales; Enterobacteriaceae.